Molecule: non-coding RNA, 29 nt
Filed under: Mus musculus (house mouse)
Lineage: Eukaryota; Metazoa; Chordata; Mammalia; Rodentia; Muridae
Source: RNAcentral
UAACUCUAGCCUCACCAUGAUUUCCCAAU